Molecule: long non-coding RNA, 266 nt
Organism: Syngnathus acus (greater pipefish)
Lineage: Eukaryota; Metazoa; Chordata; Actinopteri; Syngnathiformes; Syngnathidae
Exons: 3
Source: RefSeq, a predicted model, not a curated record
AUUUGAAGAAAUAGAUUUCUCAGCAAAGGCACAUGAUGUAAAUAGGUACAGGCUGCAAAUUGCCACCACACUUCUAUUAGAGACUGAUGAUUUAUCUAACUUGUGCUUUGUUUGUGGGGAAGCUACACAUGACACAGACAACAGAUGGAUUCAGUGUGACGAGUGUUGCAGGUGGUUCCAUCUUGUAUGUGUCGGGGAGCCUCCAACCGAAGGCUCUUUUUUGUGUACAACAUGUACAGAAAUUAGAUGCUAAAUAUUUUAAGCUU